GGUUUUCGGACCUAGAGACCGGCGCACGGGUGCGUAACGCGUAUGCAAUCUACCUUUCACAGAGGGAUAGCCCAGAGAAAUUUGGAUUAAUACCUCAUAGUAUAAUACAAUCGCAUGAUUGAAUUAUUAAAGUCACAACGGUGAAAGAUGAGCAUGCGUCCCAUUAGCUAGUUGGUAAGGUAACGGCUUACCAAGGCGACGAUGGGUAGGGGUCCUGAGAGGGAGAUCCCCCACACUGGUACUGAGACACGGACCAGACUCCUACGGGAGGCAGCAGUGAGGAAUAUUGGACAAUGGGCGCAAGCCUGAUCCAGCCAUGCCGCGUGCAGGAUGACGGUCCUAUGGAUUGUAAACUGCUUUUAUACGAGAAGAAACACCUCUACGAGUAGAGACUUGACGGUAUCGUAAGAAUAAGGAUCGGCUAACUCCGUGCCAGCAGCCGCGGUAAUACGGAGGAUCCAAGCGUUAUCCGGAAUCAUUGGGUUUAAAGGGUCCGUAGGCGGUCAGAUAAGUCAGUGGUGAAAGCCCAUCGCUCAACGGUGGAACGGCCAUUGAUACUGUCUGACUUGAAUUAUUAGGAAGUAACUAGAAUAUGUAGUGUAGCGGUGAAAUGCUUAGAGAUUACAUGGAAUACCAAUUGCGAAGGCAGGUUACUACUAAUGGAUUGACGCUGAUGGACGAAAGCGUGGGUAGCGAACAGGAUUAGAUACCCUGGUAGUCCACGCCGUAAACGAUGGAUACUAGCUGUUGGAAGCAAUUUCAGUGGCUAAGCGAAAGUGAUAAGUAUCCCACCUGGGGAGUACGUUCGCAAGAAUGAAACUCAAAGGAAUUGACGGGGGCCCGCACAAGCGGUGGAGCAUGUGGUUUAAUUCGAUGAUACGCGAGGAACCUUACCAAGGCUUAAAUGUAGAUUGACCGGUUUGGAAACAGACUUUUCGCAAGACAAUUUACAAGGUGCUGCAUGGUUGUCGUCAGCUCGUGCCGUGAGGUGUCAGGUUAAGUCCUAUAACGAGCGCAACCCCUGUUGUUAGUUGCCAGCG
RNAcentral lists this ribosomal RNA (1040 nucleotides) under Flavobacterium limicola. Its description in RNAcentral is "bacterial SSU rRNA". It matches the Rfam family "Bacterial small subunit ribosomal RNA", at positions 75 to 1123 of the family's 1533-position model. The record is from RNAcentral. Lineage: Bacteria; Pseudomonadati; Bacteroidota; Flavobacteriia; Flavobacteriales; Flavobacteriaceae.